RNAcentral lists this signal recognition particle RNA (198 nucleotides) under Sedimentibacter saalensis. RNAcentral describes it as "Bacterial large signal recognition particle RNA". The stretch from base 64 to 163 matches the Rfam family "Bacterial small signal recognition particle RNA". From Rfam's summary of the family: The signal recognition particle (SRP) is a universally conserved ribonucleoprotein involved in the co-translational targeting of proteins to membranes. Archaeal SRP consists of a 7S RNA and homologues of the eukaryotic SRP19 and SRP54 proteins. The record is from RNAcentral. Lineage: Bacteria; Bacillati; Bacillota; Tissierellia.
CAGAUUAAUAUUGACUUGAAAUGCUAUUUGUGUUAUUAUCUUAAUGCACUCUGUCCGAGUGAAAACUUGGUCUCGCGCAACAGAACCCUAUGAAUCUUGUCAGGUCCGGAAGGAAGCAGCAAUAAGUAGACCGUUUUGUGUGACGUGAGGAAGCCUGGUUGAAUCUCGGCAGGGUGCUUUAAUUUAAAAUUUAAUCUG